RNAcentral lists this ribosomal RNA (292 nucleotides) under uncultured bacterium. RNAcentral's name for it is "partial 16S ribosomal RNA". It matches the Rfam family "Bacterial small subunit ribosomal RNA", at positions 505 to 796 of the family's 1533-position model. The record is from RNAcentral.
GUGUCAGCAGCCGCGGUAAGACAGAGGGUGCAAACGUUGUUCGGAAUUACUGGGCGUAAAGCGCGUGUAGGCGGUCGGGCAAGUCGGAUGUGAAAGCCCAGGGCUCAACCCUGGAAGUGCACUCGAUACUGCUCGGCUAGAGUCCCGGAGAGGAUGGUGGAACUCUCGGUGUAGAGGUGAAAUUCGUAGAUAUCGAGAAGAACACCGGUGGCGAAGGCGGCCAUCUGGACGGUGACUGACGCUGAGACGCGAAAGCGUGGGGAGCAAACAGGAUUAGAUACCCUGGUAGUCC